Long non-coding RNA from Esox lucius (northern pike), 1420 nucleotides. The record is from Ensembl. Lineage: Eukaryota; Metazoa; Chordata; Actinopteri; Esociformes; Esocidae.
CAACAGGAGCAGAAUGACAUUAAAUAUUCAGGUAUAUAGGUUUAAGUGUUUGGUAGGACUCUGUGUUCUAAUGCAUUAACAAGAUGCAACAAACUAAUGUAAUGGACAUAUUUCUGAUUGUGUACUGUGCAGUUGCAACUAAUCUUCUCAAGGAGAAUUCACUGACAGGUACAGGACACUUGAAAGCAAUUCAGUGAUAGAGGACCGGUUGGACCCAGAGAGACUGAGUUUGGCUGAAAGGAUUGUGAGAUGAAGAAGGCAAACCCCAACCCACGGGGGGAGCUAAGGAAAGCUCCGGUUCUGGACAACAUUUGCUGGGAUGCGGAAGACCAACUGCACAACAUCAUGCCCCGCUGGUUGGGUCCAUACCAGGUACACCUCAUUUGCAUUCCAGAGUUCUGAUCGAUGAAAUUGCCAUCACAGUAGCUGAGAGAGGAACCUGGGGUCGACGCCACACACGCUACAGGAGGACUUCAAUGCACUGUGCCAAAGAUUUGGCACAGUGAAUUGAAGUCACUGAGGGAAAAGUGAGCUUUUUGGUGCUAGUAACCAUCACUUCCGACCAGGCCUGCAGCUAUAGAGUUCUUAGACAAAACUGUUCAUCUUGGCAUUCACAAAGGAGAACACAGAUUCCCCUGACCUGGCUGAUAAAGCAGCUAUAAUGGAGACAACAAGAGUUGUGUCAUUGUAACCUACAUUUCAACUAUGAAGGACAACACUUUGGAAUAAACAUUUUUCCAUCUGUUACAUCGGUCUGCCAAGAAAUGGUUCAUAACUGACUGUCUGAUGUUUGAAGGAGCAGAAUAUUUGUUAUGACUUUGGAAGUACAUCAUAUGGGAACCACGAGAGGACUUUUCAGUGAAUCAAGAAAUUGACAUAAGAUGUCUUUGUACUGGUAACAAAUUGAAGGAUGAUUGGUGUUUACACACCCACGUGUCGAUGCUACAUAUACCAUACUGUCAGUAUAUAUGUCACCUGAAAUUACUUCCUUACUCCCUCUCUACCCACAUAUGCACCAGGGUUUGACGGGUCGUAGUAAAUACUUUUUAAAAACUGUUAAGACAUCGUAGAGCAUUGGCUCAAUAACUAGAAGUAAUACAUGUUUAACAUUGUUUUAUUUGAAUCUUUGGAAUUACACGUCAUCCGUGAAUUUCAGAAAAGCUACACAAAACAUUCAGAUUUCUGCUGAUAAGAAAAUCUAUAAACAUACAAUAGGUGCCCAAUUUUAAAGUCUUUGUUGUCAGCAUUUAAAAAUGUCAGACGUUUAUACAAGAAGUUGUUUAGAUCAUUUGAUUCAACAACGUUUGACAACUAUUGCGGGCAGUCAUCAGAUGUGUUCAUGACCGUUUCCAUAUGCUUGUUCAGAUUAUUAAAUGACUUUAUACUGACAUGGUCUUAGUUAUUAAAAAGUCUACAACCA